AAAGUCUGAAAUUCCUUUUUCAUCCGCAAUAAACAAAUUUUUCCCUUUCAGUCUUUCCCCCUCACAGAAUUUCCCCAAAUUUUUUUCCCUCUGUCUUUUCUCUCUCACGGUAAUCUCUCUUUCUUCCCUCACUCCUCUUCUCUCUUUUUCCCCUCUAUCGGACCCAUCUGCCACCGCCACCCAUUGCACAGCCACCCAUCUGCCACCGAUGCUAGCCACCGCCGCCGCCGUCGUCGUCGACCUCCAAUGUCGCCGUUAGGUGCGACUUGGUUUCAGUAUUUGGUCUUUUGGCCUUCAAUCCAGCUACUUUCCCUUAUCCUUUCAGCCAAUUAUAUAUCACACUCAAGCAUUUUACUCAUUCGAUGCCAUUCUGCUUGGAGCGUUUUAUCUCCUUCUCAUAGCUACUUUCCCUGACUCAAUCGGAGCAUGUUUUGGUCACAUUGAUUUCACCUUCUAAUUCAAGGUCUAUUACGUGGACAUGUUUAUUUCUUCCUACGGUAUAUACAAGAUUUUGUAAUCAACGUUAUUUUUCUUGGAUGUCUAAUUAGCCGUGACUGAAUUUUUCCAGGUCGCGCUAGAUAAAUUGGUUAAACCAUCAAACACUGUCACUGACUACAACACCAGGUUUAGUGGAAUCACAUGUGAGUUGCUAAAUGGGGUGACUACAAGCCUUAAGGAAAUUCAGGAAGAUUUUCUAAAGCUGGUUUACAAAGAGACCAUCCUUGUUGGGCAUUCCUUGGAGAAUGACUUGUUAGCAUUAAAGAUCUCUCAUGGUUUGGUGAUAGAUACUGCAGUAUUGUACAA
Long non-coding RNA from Quercus robur (English oak), 804 nucleotides. RefSeq lists it as uncharacterized. NCBI's taxonomy places the organism in Eukaryota, Viridiplantae, Streptophyta, Magnoliopsida, Fagales, Fagaceae. The record is from RefSeq and is a predicted model, not a curated record. The transcript is spliced from 4 exons.